Molecule: microRNA precursor, 55 nt
Organism: Ciona intestinalis (vase tunicate)
Lineage: Eukaryota; Metazoa; Chordata; Ascidiacea; Phlebobranchia; Cionidae
Source: Ensembl
UGUGCUGUAUAUGCACUUCUAUGUAUUUAAUUUUAUAAGUGCAUGUAUGGUGCUA